RNAcentral lists this long non-coding RNA (5342 nucleotides) under Solanum lycopersicum (tomato). RNAcentral describes it as "long non-coding RNA (SLYC_LNC000597)". Lineage: Eukaryota; Viridiplantae; Streptophyta; Magnoliopsida; Solanales; Solanaceae. The record is from RNAcentral.
AUAUAUUUGUCACUUUUCCCUAAAAUCUUAUCGAAUUGAUUAUUAAUUUCUUCUUGUGACAUAGCUUCGAAUAUCGGGAAUUAUGACAAAUGCACCAAUAAUAUUGACACUUGACUGUGAUAUGUACUCUAAUGAUCCAUCAACACCUCAACGGGCUUUAUGUUACUUCUUGGACCCAACAUUACGGCCCGAUUUAGCCUACGUUCAGUUUCCUCAAACUUUUCAUGGGCUUAAUGCAGCAGAUAUUUAUGCAAAUGAGAUAAAACCCCUAUUUAUUACUAAUCCAAUGGGCAUGGAUGGGCUUAAUGGGCCUAAUUAUGUUGGAACUGGAUGUUUUUUUCGUCGUCGGGCUUUUUUCGGGCCUCCGUCUUCGUUUGAGCAGCCCGAAAUUCCAGAACUGUUUCCGGAUCAUGUUGUGAAUAAGCCCAUUAAGGCCCAUGAAAUCUUGCGGCGAGCCCAUUAUGUAGCAAGUAGCAACUAUGAGAGUGGAAGUAAUUGGGGUUCCAAGGUGAGCUUUAGUUUACAUUUUAAGUUGGUAAAUGUAGAGUAUAAUUGCACUAGCAACUUCUUUUUGGUGGCAAUUGGUUCGAAUUUGCCACGCGAUAUAUCUAGUAUACAUGGUAUAUUCGAACUAAUUCCCAUGAAAAAAUCGUUUGCACUUAAGGCAAUAUGAGUAUAAUUCCACUAGCAACUUUUUCGUGGCAAUGAGAUCGCACUUGUCACAUAUUUUAGAUCUUGUUGCCACAAAAAAAGUUGGUAGAACUGAAGACAACAUAGUAAAUGUGGUGUAAAAUUGAACCAACGAGACAAUCAUUUCAGACUUUCUGAUUAUCGUUGCCAAUAAAAAUAGCAAUAAUAUAUCAAUCAGAUGUAUAAUACAUGUAUUUUUAAUGUAUAAUCUGUAUAUCAUCAUGUAUGUUAUAUACAAACUAACAAUUUCAAAAUUAUGCAGAUGGGGUUUAGGUAUGGAUCACUUGUUGAGGAUUACUACACAGGUUAUAGACUUCAAUGUGAAGGAUGGAAAUCAGUAUUUUGCAAUCCUAAAAGGCCUGCAUUUUUAGGAGAUAAACCAAUUUCUCUGUAUGAUGUGGUCAGCCAAAUGAAGAGAUGGGAUGUGGGCCUUCUUGAAGUUGCUCUCUCAAAAUAUAGCCCAUUAACUUUUGGGGUUCAGUCCAUGGGCCUUGUUAUGGCCCAUUGUUAUUCUCACUAUGCAUUCUCCCCCAUUUGGUCAAUACCACUUACUCUAUAUGCCUUCAUACCUCAACUUACUCUUCUCAAUGGGGUUACCAUCUUUCUAAAGGUAUGUCCUUUUGAUAUAUGACUCAGCAUAUUUAACGUUCAAUUAAUUGAGUUACGCAUUUUGGUUCCCUUUCAUGUAGAAAAUAUAUUAUAAUAUCGUCAUAUACAAGGCAACACUACAUAUAUAGAGCGUAGCACAUGACUAAUAAAUUGGUAGAACAACUAGUCUUAAGGUAAAUUUGUGGAUAUUGACAUGCAAAUGAAUAAAAAUUGUAAUUUUUUUUUUGAAUGUUUAAUGUUCUUUUUAUAUCGAUUUCAGGUUUCAGACCCUUGGUUUUUCUUGUAUGUUUUUAUGUUCCUUGGAUCGUAUGGACAAGAUUGCUUGAUUUUUAUGUCUAAUGAAGGGACAUUUAAAAGGUGGUGGAGUGACCAAAGAAUGUGGAUGAUAAGGGGUUAACAUCUCACUUAUUUGGAACAAUUGAGUAUUUAACUAAAUACUUAGGCAUAUCGAUACAAGGUUUCAAUGUAACAAAUAAAAUAGUCGAUAAUGACCAAGGUAAAAGGUAUCAUCAAGGAAUUUUCGAGUUUGGGGUUGUUUCGCCUAUGUUUGUGAUACUAGCAACAACAUCAAUUAUCAAUUUAGUAGCAUUCCUCAAAUCAUUAGCACAAAUUUUCAAGAGUGAUCAAAAUUUGGAUGGUAUGUUCAUCCAAAUGUUUAUUGCUGGUUUUGUUGUUAUAAAUUGUUUGCCAAUUUAUGAAGCUAUGGUUUUGAGAAGUGAUAAAGGAAGAAUGCCAACAAGGGUCACUAUUUUCUCAACAUGUCUUGCUUGUACCCUCUAUAUAGCAUUUGCUUUUCUUUUAGGAAACAUGUAAUAGCAAAGUUUUAUUUUUGUACUUUUGGGACCUUUUGUUAUUGUUCUUGUAAUCUUAUUACUUAGUUUAGUUAAGAAGCAAUAUUAGAUUUAUUUGAAAUAUUCAAGAAUAAAAGGAGUACUGAGAUUUUAUAUAUGGAAUGAACAUAUAUUUUUCUCAAUCUUCAUACGAUGAAAAUAAUAAAUAAAAAUAAUUUUUUUUUAAUAUAAUAAACACGUAAAAAUAACAGAGAGAAGUUUUUGAAAUCCCUCCCAUAAAUAGACUCCUCUCACCACAAUAAUCUAUCACUCUAUCAUCUACUCUAAUAAAACACUUCAAGCAAAAAUGGAAACCACCACCUCCUCCUCCGCCGACACCACCACCACCACCAAUAACACCGGGGGUCUUCACUCCGUCGUGAUGAAUCCACGACACCACAUCCUCAACCGUGCAUUUGCACUUAUUUACCUUUUUGCCAUCCUAGUUCUUUUCUAUAACCAUAUAAUAAAACUCCUAAAUUCCACAAAUUCCUUUAUAACUUUCUCCAUAUCAUUUUCAAUUUUAAUUUCAGAUUUAAUCUUAGCCUUCAUGUGGACAACCAGUCAACCUUUUCGUAUGCGUCCACUAACACGUCAACAAUAUCCCGAAAAAAUAACCAAAAACUUUAGUAACGAAAUUAAUAAUUUUCCAGCACUUGAUAUAUUUAUUUGUACUGCAGAUCCUUAUAAGGAGCCACCGUUAAACGUCGUUAACACGGUAUUAUCAGUUAUGGCCUACGAUUAUAAUCCAAUCGAAAAAAUAUCGAUUUAUGUAUCGGACGAUGGAGGAUCGGAGCUUACGUUAUUUGCUUUUAUGGAAGCUGCAAAAUUUGCUGUAUAUUGGCUGCCUUUUUGUAGGGAAAAUAAAAUAAUUCAAAGGUCUCCAGAUGCAUAUUUCAAUUCUAAUUACUUACAAAAUUUUGAGACAAAGAAAAUCAAGGUAUGUUUUUUUUCCCUCUAGAAUUUAUAUUACUAAAUAGAACGUCUAACGUCUAGUGAUUUUCUUAAUCAAUAAUAAAAAAUUUGAUUAAUUUUUAAUAUUACUAAAUCAUAAUUAUAAUGUUCGAAUUUUUAAAAAGUAUCUUAACGUAUAUGGUGGAUAUUCCUUUAAAAAUAUAUUAUUUUUAUUUGAAUAUGAUAAUACUUUUAAAAAUUCGAGCAAUAUAGAAAAUUGAAAAUUUUUAAUGCUGUUAUUUCUGCAAGCAUGCAUGUGCGAUGUACAUUUAAUUUAUAUUAUAGCUUGCGUUUGAGAUCUGGCUGAGUUUAUUUAUGAGAUAUUUUGGUAAAUUUGUCGUAUAUUACAAUUAUUGAUAAAGGGGCAUAUAGGUUUGGUACGAUCUAUUUUAUGGUCUAUUAUAAAUAUUAUUUUUAGUUAUAUUAUAUGGUCUUCUCUAUAGGAUGUCAGGUCCCAAUUUAUUAAUAUAGUAUGUGGUAACUUUUGCUUUUCGAAAGUUGAUUAUCUAUGGUUUAAAGUUGAAUAGGAUUUGAUUAAACUAAAUAUUAGUUAAAAUGUUUAUCAAAGUUUAGAUUAUAUAUAUAUAUAUAUAUAUAUAUAUAUAUAUAUAUGAGAUCGUAAAGUAUAUGAAAUUUUUAUAGAGAUAUUUUUUUUUAUUUAAUUAAAUAUUAUUUGUGAUGGAAAAUCAUGAUUCUCGCUAAGGAAAAUAACAAAUAGAAUAUUUGUCCUUUAUCUUACACCAUAUCUCAUAUUUUUAUGUAUUUUCAUUCUUUAAAAUUCAAAUUAUGUUAUAUUUUAAUUAAUAUUUUAAAAUAUAUUUAUACAAGAAGAUAAGCAACUUGCAAUUUGAUUGACUAGUAUCUGGCCUGAGUUGAUUUUAUCAAUUAUUUGAACAUAUUUAAUAUAUUUAUUGAUUUGGCAUUUUGUUUUUGAAUUCAAUCUUUGUGACGCUGUAGCUGAAGGAAAAAAAAACAGAUAUUUUCUUUAGCCAAUAAUAGUAGUAUAUAGUAUAUGCUCAUAUAUCAAUAUGUAUUUGUUAUAUAUUGUAUUUGACUAAUAAAUUUAACCAAUAAUGUUGUAACAACUCUUACAAGGACAUCUUAUAUUAUUUUAAAAUAUCAUAAAACUUUUUUAUUAUUAUACUAGAAUCUUUAUCUUAUGUUAUUAGAUAAGAAAAACAAUUUAUUUUUUAUGCAAAUCACGUCAUAGUAUUUUAACAGUAGAAAAUAAUAUUUUUAUCUGUCUUUCAGCGUUAAAUUAUUUAUCUUAUUUUCAAUCUAUCAACGCGACUCAAACUAUUAUCAAAAAAAAACUUUUUCGACUAUUUAUCUUAUUUUCAAUCGAGAAUUUUAUGUGAUGUAUAUUGUAUUUGUAGUUGAUGUAUGAAAACAUGAAAACAAGGAUAGAAGAAGUGAUUGAGAGGGGAAAAGUGGAUGAAGAUUGUAUUAACACUGAGGAAGAGCUUCAAGCUUUUACCAAAUAUUGGACUACUGGAUUUUCUCGACAUAAUCAUGCUUCUAUUAUUCAGGUAAAUAUAUAUUGUACUGUAGUAAUUCAAUUUAUUAAUGAUAUUAUUAUUUUGAAACUUAAUUCUAUAUAACUUGUCACUAUAAUUUUACGCUCGUUUCCUUAUAUAUAAUAUUCUUUUAAUAUUUUAUCGAUGUGAGACUUAAUAUAGGAUAUCAUAUAUAUUGAGAUUUGCCCAUGCGGAUGUUUGGUGAUUAAUUUGGUAAUAUCGUCCACUUGACUUUAUCCUUUUAUCAAAUUGGUUGGUGUAGGUUUUGUUAGAAAGUGGCAAAGACAAAGACAUAACAAGUCAUGGGAUGCCAAAUCUUAUUUAUUUUUCAAGAGAAAAAAACAAAAGUUCCCCUCAUCAUUUUAAAGCAGGUGCCCUCAAUGCAUUGGUAAGUAAAAAAUCUAAUCAAUUUUACUUAUACACACGUUCUAAAUAGCAAAGUCGAGGAAUAUAUUUGUCUCUUUUCUCUAAAAUCUUAUCGAAUUGAUUAUUAAUUUCUUCUUGUGAUAUAGCUUCGAGUAUCGGGAAUUAUGACAAAUGCACCAAUAAUAUUGACACUUGACUGUGAUAUGUACUCUAAUGAUCCAUCAACACCUCAACGGGCUUUAUGUUACUUCUUGGACCCAACAUUACGGCCCGAUUUAGCCUACGUUCAGUUUCCUCAAACUUUUCAUGGGCUUAAUGAAGCAGAUAUUUAUGCAAAUGAGAUAAAACCCCUAUCUAUAACUAAUCCAAUGGGCAU